AACGAACGCUGGCGGCAGGCUUAACACAUGCAAGUCGAACGCCCCGCAAGGGGAGUGGCAGACGGGUGAGUAACGCGUGGGAACAUACCCUUUCCUGCGGAAUAGCUCCGGGAAACUGGAAUUAAUACCGCAUACGCCCUACGGGGGAAAGAUUUAUCGGGGAAGGAUUGGCCCGCGUUGGAUUAGCUAGUUGGUGGGGUAAAGGCCUACCAAGGCGUCGAUCCAUAGCUGGUCUGAGAGGAUGAUCAGCCACAUUGGGACUGAGACACGGCCCAAACUCCUACGGGAGGCAGCAGUGGGGAAUAUUGGACAAUGGGCGCAAGCCUGAUCCAGCCAUGCCGCGUGAGUGAUGAAGGCCUUAGGGCUGUAAAGCUCUUUCACCGAUGAAGAUAAUGACGGUAGUCGGAGAAGAAGCCCCGGCUAACUUCGUG
RNAcentral lists this ribosomal RNA (431 nucleotides) under uncultured bacterium. Its description in RNAcentral is "partial 16S ribosomal RNA". It matches the Rfam family "Bacterial small subunit ribosomal RNA", at positions 29 to 507 of the family's 1533-position model. The record is from RNAcentral.